Molecule: non-coding RNA, 21 nt
Organism: Caenorhabditis elegans
Lineage: Eukaryota; Metazoa; Nematoda; Chromadorea; Rhabditida; Rhabditidae
Source: Ensembl
UCAUUGUCAGUUCUAUGCUCC